UAGAAACGCAAUCAUUGCCACGUCCCUCCAACCAUCCACAGAAUAUAAUACAUCACCAAUAGUAGGGAACUGUUUGGCCAGUUAACAUGGACAAAUGGACUGGGCGUGUGGCCCUAGUGACUGGUGCUUCACGUGGGAUAGGGUCAUCCGUGGCCAGAAUGCUUUGCCAGCAAGGGAUGGUCGUAGUGGCACUGGCCAGAGACAUCGCUGAGCUAGAGGCUAUAGCCGUGGACUACAAGACUAACGGUUUCGAAGGCAGCUUGGUGCCCAUGAAGUGUGACAUCACCCAGCCAGACAGAAUCUCCGCUCUUCUAAAUACCAUCAGAACUGACCCAGAUCUAGAAGGAGUUGACGUACUCAUCAACAACGCUGCCGUAGCCUUUGCUGAGCCACUGCUUAGUGGUAACCCGGAUGUAUGGGCCACUAUGGUCAAGACCAAUUUCCUGGGUCCUACAAUCUUGGCUCAGGAAGUGUUCAAGUCUAUGAAAGAAAGAGAAGUUGAUGAUGGUCACAUCAUUUUUGUUAACAGUCUUUCCGGGCAUCGUCUGCUACCAGGCAAUAAAGAUCUCCACAUGUACAGUGCCACCAAGUUCGCUCUGCGGUCAAUAGUUGAAGGUCUCCGCCUUGAACUUCGUCAGUUGGAUUCUCAUAUAAGAGUUUCGUCGAUCAGCCCGGGUGUGGUGGAAACUGAUAUUUUCAAGAAACUCUUUGACAACGACGAGGAGAAGACGAAAAAGUUUCUAUCUGAGAGAAAGGUAAACACUGACCACUGGCUAGUGGUUUGAGAGAAAGUACCUGACUGCCGAUGAUGUGGCUAACCUCAUUUUAUCUAUUAUGUCCCAACCCGGCCACGUACAGAUCCAUGACCUACUUGUAAGAUCAACUGAGCAAAUACCUUAAUUGACAAUCAUUAAUUGGAAACACAAGAGAAGACCACACACUGAAGCAAUAAAAACAAACUCAAAUUGUAA
Biomphalaria glabrata is the source of this 971-nucleotide RNA transcript. It is a transcript of the gene named dehydrogenase/reductase SDR family member 11-like, with no coding region annotated. Lineage: Eukaryota; Metazoa; Mollusca; Gastropoda; Planorbidae. The transcript has 7 exons. The record is from RefSeq and is a predicted model, not a curated record.